CCUACGGGAGGCAGCAGUGGGGAAUUUUCCGCAAUGGGCGAAAGCCUGACGGAGCAACGCCGCGUGAGGGAUGAAGGCCUCUGGGCUGUAAACCUCUUUUAUCAAGGAAGAAGAUCUGACGGUACUUGAUGAAUAAGCCACGGCUAAUUCCGUGCCAGCAGCCGCGGUAAUACGGGAGUGGCAAGCGUUAUCCGGAAUUAUUGGGCGUAAAGCGUCCGCAGGCGGUCUUGUAAGUCUGUCGUUAAAGCGUGGAGCUCAACUCCAUUUCGGCGGUGGAAACUACAAGACUAGAGUGUGGUAGGGGCAGAGGGAAUUCCCGGUGUAGCGGUGAAAUGCGUAGAUAUCGGGAAGAACACCAGUGGCGAAGGCGCUCUGCUGGGCCAUAACUGACGCUCAUGGACGAAAGCUAGGGGAGCGAAAGGGAUUAGAUACCCCUGUAGUCCUAGCCGUAAACGAUGAACACUAGGUGUCGGGGGAAGUCGACCCCCUCCGGUGUCGUAGCUAACGCGUUAAGUGUUCCGCCUGGGGAGUACGCACGCAAGUGUGAAACUCAAAUGAAUUGACGG
Molecule: ribosomal RNA, 566 nt
Filed under: uncultured bacterium
Lineage: Bacteria
Description: bacterial SSU rRNA
Rfam family: Bacterial small subunit ribosomal RNA
Source: RNAcentral